This is a non-coding RNA of Cyanistes caeruleus (blue tit), 529 nucleotides long. The record is from RefSeq and is a predicted model, not a curated record. Lineage: Eukaryota; Metazoa; Chordata; Aves; Passeriformes; Paridae.
CAUAAACACCAUCACUUAUAGCUGUGCCUCAAGGGCCUGAGGAUGAUGACACAUCCUCAGCCAGGCCCCAGAGCAGUGGGCUUUGGAUAUAACUGUCUGUGAACAGCUGCUCUAAGUGGAACAGCACACAGGGACUUCUGUCAUUGCAAAGAUCGCAGGUGAUUCUGUAGUUAGCUCUUUCUGAGCUGUUAGCCUUCAGACCCAAGAAGCAUUUCCUAAGGAACCAUAUUUUACAAAGAGAGAUGAAACUCCAGAAUUCAGAAAAGGAUUUUCUAUGCCCACCUCUUCAGCCAAGAACUGAGAAAGACCCUUGGGAACCUGAGUCAUCCAAGGACACCUCUCCUAGAGAGGAAGAGGGUCUGAAGACAACAUUCAUCAUGGCUCUAAGGCAAAAGACAAGCAGGGAGAAAUCCUUCUUGUUUCUGGCAAGGCUUUAAAGGAAAAGUACUGAACUUUUAAACAUUUUCCUGAUUUGGUCAUUCAGAACUGAGGAAGUUGUGAGCUGAAAUUAAAAGUGGACUUGAAAAUC